GAUAAAGUUAUUGACAUUGAAGAUUAGAUUGUUAAUAAAGUUAUAGACUGUAUUGGUGAUAAAGUUAAUAUCAUGGUUUAUAGUGGUGAUAAAUUUGAUACCGAGACAUACCAGUGAUGAUCACAGCUACUCAUUUGCAUUUGGGACAAGGAUGAGUGUGAUGAUGGUAAAGUUAUUGCCAUUGAAAAUUAUGAUGGUGAUAAAGUUAUUGACAUAGGAGAUCAGAUUGUUAUUAAAGUUAAAAGACAUUGUAGUGGUGAUGAAGUUCGUGGCAUUGAAGAUUAUAGUGGUGAUAAAGUUGAUACUGAGACAUACCAGUGAUGAUCACAGCUACUCAUUUGCAUUUUGGACAAGGAUGAGUGCGAUGGUGAUGGAGUUAAUGACAUUGAAGAUCAUGGUGGUGAUAAAGCUAAUGAUGUUAAAGAUUAGAUUGGUGAUAAAGAUGAUAUUGAGACAUGACAUUGAAGAUAAACUUUGUAUUGAACGUUGCAGUGAUGUUAAAGUUGAUCUUCAAGGGAAAGUGUUGAUGAUAACGUUAUUAAAAUUGAAGAGUUUAUUGUUGAUAAAUUUGAUGGCAAAGACAUAGGAGUGGUGAUCAAAAUCUUCUGGAAUCUGAUGAUGAUAAAGUACAGUAAGCAAGCCACAUUGAUAAACAAUCAAUUUGAGAAUAAAAAAAGUAAAUAAAAUAUGGCAGGACUGGCCCGUGUCUCAUAUUCACAUUAAUGAACCCAGAAGAGGCCACUAGGUCCUAGGGAGACUGACGUCACAUCCUAUUACGUGUAGAGUUGGCUCCACAAAUCACUCGCAUGUGUCACUUGUGAGUAAGCGAUUACAAAAGCACCUCCAGCGACGCUGACGGAUCCUACAUGGCCCACGUCCUGACAGAUACAUGGCUGAGAGACAAGGAACAACCUUUUCCACACGACCAAAAACAGAAAAAAAAAAAAGUUGGCAAGUACCUUUUCAACGAAAUCAUUUCCACCUGGGGGUUUUGUGUCGUUCCUGCAUAUCUGAAGGAUUACCAAAAAACCCUCACAAUAGGAGUUUUUUUCUUUGUCCUUGUAGUGAUUAGCUCAGACUUUCAGAUGCUUUGCAGUUUUUUUUUUUCAAGGUUUCUCUCCCUCGAACUACAGAGAGAAUUAUGAAAACACGAGGCUAGUGGGUUGCUAUUUUUCUUUGUGGCAGUAAGUUUAUAGUUUGCAAUUCUAUGUUUUGCUAUAAUUUUUUUCCAGGGUAUUUUGUUAUUUUCCCUUGUGUUAAUAAGUUUAUUCUUUGUAUUUCUAUAUUUUGCUAUACU
Macrobrachium nipponense is the source of this 1297-nucleotide long non-coding RNA. RefSeq lists it as uncharacterized. Lineage: Eukaryota; Metazoa; Arthropoda; Malacostraca; Decapoda; Palaemonidae. The transcript has 4 exons. The record is from RefSeq and is a predicted model, not a curated record.